UGGUGACUAUAGCAAGGAGGUCACACCUGUUCGCAUGCCGAACACAGAAGUUAAGCUCCUUAGCGUCGAUGGUAGUCGAACUUACGUUCCGCUAGAGUAGAACGUUGCCAGGCA
Molecule: ribosomal RNA, 114 nt
Filed under: Staphylococcus aureus M0695
Lineage: Bacteria; Bacillati; Bacillota; Bacilli; Caryophanales; Staphylococcaceae
Source: RNAcentral